Non-coding RNA from Misgurnus anguillicaudatus (oriental weatherfish), 1216 nucleotides. NCBI's taxonomy places the organism in Eukaryota, Metazoa, Chordata, Actinopteri, Cypriniformes, Cobitidae. The record is from RefSeq and is a predicted model, not a curated record.
UUAAAUUAAAUUGCCAAGCACAAUAAGACAGCUGUGUUGUAAGGAGCACUUAUGUUAUUGCAAGCAUUAUUUAAAGAAAAUCCCAGCUUCCUUGACUGUGUAAAUAGUGAACCCAAAGGUCCCACACCAACCAUAGUGUUCAACGGCUCUCCUGAUCUUCUCAAAUCUGAAAGUAUCAACUUUAUAAUGGACAAUGUGAACUUAAUAUGUGGAAGACAUUGACAUCACAGGCUGUGGAAUGACUGUGUCACAGGUCGGAGAAGCGGACCGCCCCUGUCGCGGAUCACGCUCCUCCUAGUUCCACCUCGAGGAGGUCCCAAAGCACCCCAAUGACCAGACAAACCAGAGAUAAGUAAAAUAUAGAAAUAGAAACUUUAUUUAAAUUAUUUAAAACUAAAGUGGGGAAUGGGAAAGGGAAUCUAAAAAUCUCGCUUCUCGCCCUCAGGGGGAGUAUUACGGGGCCAGGGACGUUGGAGGGGUUUCCACAUGACUCCAGCUGGAACACCACUACAGAGCGUAUCUGGGUGGGUUGGGCACACACCGUCGCGGCGGCCCCUGAUGGCAUCCACAAAGGUCCGAGACCCUCCUAAGCUCCUAGCCGUAGCAGAACUACGUAUUUCAGCACCCGAAGGACUAACAACCCAGCCGGCAUCUGCAGCGUAUAUCCAACGCGAUCAAACUUCACUCUGACAAGUAACUUCCUAUACACAACCACGCCGUCCUUUCGCCUGGACCAGCCCCGCACUCUUUCCGCCCGCUACCUAGCGGUCGCCGGAUCAGCAGAGCCUGCGGACUCUUCGGAGGCUGGUCUUCGUUGUGCUGCCCAAGGCGGAAGUUGACUCGCCCGAAAAUCGACCCUUCCAGUAACUUCUACCUUCUCUCUUUAUAUCCUCCUCCAUGGCGUGGCUCGCCCAACCAUCGCUCGCCACGUCACUUACACAGCUGUGCCUUGUUUCAGCAAGUGCGGGGAUUCCCGGGGAACCCUGAAGUGCCGGUGUCUCUACAAACCGGUCCGGGCGGAACCUCUUCACUCUCCUUUUGGUUCCGCCCCGCAUAGUCACUCCGUGACAACUGUUUGCGUUUUUUUUUCUCCUCAAUGUUCAAUACCCUUUUGCCAUUAAGCACACAGUGACUUUAAUUUAUAAAAUAUAUGCUUAAGUUUUAAUACCUGUACAAAACAAAUGUACAAUCAACUUGUUUAAAUUGUCAUUCUAUU